Molecule: long non-coding RNA, 926 nt
Organism: Oncorhynchus tshawytscha (Chinook salmon)
Lineage: Eukaryota; Metazoa; Chordata; Actinopteri; Salmoniformes; Salmonidae
Source: Ensembl
CCAAAAUCUGAAUCGGAACGACACAUUGUUGAGACGCGAGGUAAACAUCCUUCCCAUUGGUCCGUCCUUCCCAUUGGUCCGUCCUUUGCCACCACCAAUUCUGACGUGUAGCGUUCCGCCAGUGGUUCCGGAUGUGGUUCCACAAGUCAUGUGUUGUUAGAGCCAGCUGUCGUGUUCUUGAAGUGGAGCAAACACCGCUGUUCAAGAGGUGACAUUCUGCCUUAUCAAGCGCUCAUGCGUUGCUAGUUAACUAUGUUUUUGUGGCAUUUACAGUGCUUAAAAUGCUGACACACUUGCCUCACAGCUAGCUAAAAUGGCUAGAUACUUCACAGAAGCUGUCAGUGCUAGCCAAAUGCAUUACGAGAGGUGACGUUAGCUAAAAGCGGAACUUCGGUCUACCGGUUCUUCACUGAAACUGGCACUCCGGUGUGACUCGUGGACCCAGUCCGAGUGGUUGCUGGCAGCCCCGUAUGUGCAGCGCAAGGAGAAAGAGAAUCGGACAGUUAAUGUUUGCCAAAUCAUCCAUGGAAAUCCGCUGCACAGCCCUGAUCCUCGACGCUUUGAUCUCCUUCACUCAAGGAAGUCUGGCGCGUUGAAGGAGCGCUUCAUCAAGGCGUAUGGCACAGGGCUUUAAUCUACAGAGGGCAGAGUUUCACCUCUCACCUGAGCCAAUCACAGAGGACAAGGUAUGUCGUCGGACCACAAUGCACCUGGAGGAAAAUGAGGUGUGGACCUUCGAGGUGAGCAGGGUCCAGUGGUUAUGCAGGGAAGGAGAUGAGAGCAGGAAGAGUAAAGAAAGUUCAAGAGUAUCCAACCAUCUCCUGCUCUUUUCUGUGAAUCCAACCAUCUCCUGCUCUUUUCUGUGAAUCCAUCCAUCUCCUGCUCUUUUCUGUGAAUCCAACCAUCUCCUGCUCUUUUAUGUGAAU